ACAUUUGAACCCAUUUCUCCCAGUCCAACGUGUAGACUGCAACUGGUUGAGUUUUUUCUCUUCUGCUGCCGGGUUGCUGCAGGCCUGCAAGAGAAGGUGCUGGCUGACAUGUUUCAGAGCUGACUGAACGAAGUGGACUGCAGGAUUUACUGGAGCCAGGAGAUGGCUGCAUGGCAGACAAGGGUUUCACCAUCGAGAAGCCACUAGCUGAUUGUGGGGCAACGCUGAUUAUACCACCCUUCAAGAUGACAGUUCACUGAAGAGGAUGCUCUGAAAACACAAGCAAUCGCUCGACUUCGAAUCCUCGUAGAAAGAGCAAUAGGCAGAGUCAAGGAAUAACGCAUCUGGGAACGCACUGUCCUUUCACCUUGUCUGCGCAGUCAACCAGCUGUGGAU
Long non-coding RNA from Gadus morhua (Atlantic cod), 396 nucleotides. RefSeq lists it as uncharacterized. The transcript has 3 exons. Lineage: Eukaryota; Metazoa; Chordata; Actinopteri; Gadiformes; Gadidae. The record is from RefSeq and is a predicted model, not a curated record.